CCUGAGAAACCUAAAAGAUCGAAUGAAGAUAUUCAUCGUCAAUAUAUAAAAUAUAUAUAUAAUAUAUGAUAUAAAUUUUAUUAUAGCUUAAUUGUUAUUUUAUAAAUUUAUACAUAUAUGUAUUAUUUUAUUGUUUUAUAUUGUCGGCGUGCACUUAUCUUCUAGUAGAACAUUGUAACCCGUUAAAUAUUAAUUUACGGCCUUAUUGGGUAGCCUUUAAUUUUUUUGUUAAAAAUUAAAUUAAAGACCAAUUUGUGUUUCCUAAUUAAUUGUUUGACGGUAUUCAUAUGGUAUUAAGUCGCUUGAUUAUAAAUUAUGCGUUCUUACCUGUUGCAAGCAAGAUUAUUUUUUUAAUAGUUUACGGACCUAGUGCCGUCUAUUAUAAAUAAUCAGCUGUUGGCUAACUUGGGUUUAUCUAGAACUGACUUUAUAUAUAAUACCG
Molecule: ribosomal RNA, 442 nt
Filed under: Binodoxys angelicae
Lineage: Eukaryota; Metazoa; Arthropoda; Insecta; Hymenoptera; Braconidae
Description: partial 28S ribosomal RNA
Source: RNAcentral